AUUGAACGCUGGCGGCAUGCUUUACACAUGCAAGUCGAACGGUAACAGGGUGCUUGCACCGCUGACGAGUGGCGAACGGGUGAGUAAUGCGUCGGAACGUGCCGAGUAGUGGGGGAUAACGCAGCGAAAGUUGUGCUAAUACCGCAUACGUACUGAGGUAGAAAGUGGGGGACCUUCGGGCCUCACGCUAUUCGAGCGGCCGACGUCUGAUUAGCUAGUAGGUGAGGUAAAGGCUCACCUAGGCGACGAUCAGUAGCGGGUCUGGGAGGAUGAUCCGCCACACUGGGACUGAGACACGGCCCAGAAUCCUACGGGAGGCAGCAGUGGGGAAUUUUGGACAAUGGGCGAAAGCCUGAUCCAGCCAUGCGGCGUGUCUGAAGAAGGCAUUCGGGUUGUAAAGGACUUUUGUCAGGGAGGAAAUCCCUAGUGCUAAUAACACUGGGGGAUGACAGUACCUGAAGAAUAAGCACCGGCUAACUACGUGCCAGCAGCCGCCGUAA
This 500-nucleotide ribosomal RNA is filed under the name uncultured bacterium. RNAcentral describes it as "partial 16S ribosomal RNA". It matches the Rfam family "Bacterial small subunit ribosomal RNA", at positions 30 to 523 of the family's 1533-position model. The record is from RNAcentral.